GACGAACGCUGGCGGCGUGCUUAACACAUUCCAGUCGAACGGAAAGGCCCUGCUUUUGUGGGGUGCUCGAGUGGCGAACGCGUGAGUAACACGUGUGUAACCCGCCCCUGACUUUGGGAUAACUUCUGGAAACUUGGGCUAAUACCGGAUAGGAUCUCUUGCUGCAUGUUGGGGGUUGGAAAGUUACGGUGUUUGGGGCUGUACUCGCGGCUUACCAGCUUGUUGGUGAAGUAGUGGCUUACCAAGGGUUUGACGGAUAGCCGGCCUGAGAGGGUGGACGGCAGCAAGGGGACUAAGAUACGGCCCAGUGUCAAACGGGGGGCAGCAGUCGGGAACAUUACGGAAUGGACAGAAGCCUGAGGCAGAGACGACGGGUGCGGGAAGACGUGCUUCGGGUUGUAAACCGAUUUCGCCUGUGACGGAGAGUGAGUGAAGGUAAUGGGUAAAGAAGCAACGGCUAACUACGUG
Molecule: ribosomal RNA, 468 nt
Filed under: uncultured bacterium
Lineage: Bacteria
Description: partial 16S ribosomal RNA
Rfam family: Bacterial small subunit ribosomal RNA
Source: RNAcentral